GCCCAUUCUCGCAUGGUGUGCGCAUCAAGUUCUCCAGUGGUAAUAGCUUCAUCAGCUACAAUUUGCACAUGAGUUUAUCUUGGGUAGAUUCGAGGCCUUGUUUAAUGCCCUUACGAGGGUCUUUGCCAGUUCUAUUGAGGACGUUACUAACAUGGGAUCGAAUUCUGGCAUCAGAGACACUUUGUUGGGUAUGGUUGGCCAAGGGCAUUCGGCUCUGAGUUUGGCACGUACUUCUUUAUCUAGGGGCUUCCGUAGCCACAUUUUAUAAAAAUUGUAUAUGUGGGCAGGUGGGGCCCAUUUGGCCGAACGAGGGUGUUUAAUCCAAAAGGAUGUCUGAUUCGUAUUCUUUGGUUCUAGGCCUGAAUUUGCUUUAUUUUCAACGUAAGUUCAAUGUAACAAAAUCCGAGGUAAUAGUUAUCAACCAUAGAGGUAGAACCCUCUAAACGGUCUGAGGUGGCUCGAAC
This is a non-coding RNA of Pelobates cultripes (western spadefoot toad), 464 nucleotides long. Lineage: Eukaryota; Metazoa; Chordata; Amphibia; Anura; Pelobatidae. The record is from the annotation of a GenBank genome assembly.